GGAGUGAUGGCUCAGAGGUUAAGAGCACUGGCUGCUUUUCCAGAGGUCCUGAGUUCAAAUCCCAGUAGUUCAU
Molecule: transfer RNA, 73 nt
Filed under: Mus musculus (house mouse)
Lineage: Eukaryota; Metazoa; Chordata; Mammalia; Rodentia; Muridae
Rfam family: tRNA
About the family: Transfer RNA (tRNA) molecules are approximately 80 nucleotides in length. Their secondary structure includes four short double-helical elements and three loops (D, anti-codon, and T loops).
Source: Rfam by way of RNAcentral